Molecule: transfer RNA, 96 nt
Filed under: Nitrososphaerota archaeon
Lineage: Archaea; Thermoproteati; Nitrososphaerota
Description: tRNA-Trp
Rfam family: tRNA
About the family: Transfer RNA (tRNA) molecules are approximately 80 nucleotides in length. Their secondary structure includes four short double-helical elements and three loops (D, anti-codon, and T loops).
Source: RNAcentral
GGGGUCGUAGCCCAGCAAGGUAAGGCGACGGGCUCCAGACCCGUAGAUCGUGGGUUCAAGCGGUUUGCGAAUUAUCUGGGAAUCCCACCGACCCCA